RNAcentral lists this long non-coding RNA (2675 nucleotides) under Oreochromis niloticus (Nile tilapia). Its description in RNAcentral is "lncRNA (ENSONIG00000040152.1)". The record is from RNAcentral. Lineage: Eukaryota; Metazoa; Chordata; Actinopteri; Cichliformes; Cichlidae.
AUGGAAGCUGUAGUUGGACUGUUGUUGAUGAUGUGCGGAGUGUCUCAUGGUGUGGAAACUUACUGUGAUGGCAGACAGGAUGGAGCUCAGUGUUAUGGAGCUUUGGGAGGAACUGUGAACAUCCAGCUGAUGGACAGCACCUCAGAAAUACCUCGAUACCAAUUGUCAAAGAAUUCAUUAAAAAUACUAGAUGUGAAAAAGAAAAAUGUUAUUACUAAAAUCAAAGAACAGAGAUGUCUAAUUUUUCCAGGUAAUGGAACAUUUAGGCUUAGUAAUCUGAAAAGGAAUGACAGUGGUAGUUAUACCCUUCAAACCUUUAAUUCAGAUGGAAGAACAUCAGGCGAGUGGACUUUACAGUUGUUUAUUCAAGCUCCUGUGUCCUCUGUCCUGCUGGUCUCUGAGUGUCUGUCCCAGGGAGAGAGGAGGGUGUCCUGCUCCUCUGAGGGAGGGGACAGUCCUCAGUACAGCUGGACUCUGGAUGGACGCACACUGACAGAUGCUGAGCUCCUUUCUGUAAACAAUGAAACUAACAUCAUCACUCUGAAACAGCACGUCUCAGGAUGUCUGGUCUGCUCAGUCAGGAACAACGUCAGUAAUGUCUCCAAAGAACAGAAGAUAUCUACCUGUGGAGCAGGUCUUUUGCCACUGGUUUUUUUGCCAGUGAUCGGUGGUGUCAUCUCAGCGGUGGUCAUUUUCUUAUUUGUCGGUGUAGCGGUCAUCUGUACUCAGAGAAGAAAACCAAACAAUAAGUCCACAAAACACAAAGUAGUACAAAAUGACUAUGAAGAAAUGAUGUCAUUGUCAUGUAGCAGCAGAGGAAGCAAGUGGAGAAAAGAGGGCCGGUGAAGUAACCAAGUAAAGGUUUCGCCUUUUUCCUAUCAGAGAAAUACACAUCAUCAAAUCUCGUGAAUAUUGUCUUCUUUUGUUGUUGUUGCUUUCACUGCACUUUUUUAUUAUAACGGGGGAAAAUUCCCCCAGUCUUAGAUUGUCUCUAGGUUUAAUUAAAAGCACUGUGUUACACAAAUACUGUGAAUGUUUUCUGUACUUGUCUUCUCUUGAAGCUGUGAUACAAUAAAGGUUUUUGAGUCAUUGUAUUUCAUGCUAUUUGUUUUUUUUAUUGCGCAAAAGUUUUACAGUGUAAAAAAGCAACGUCACCUCAUUUAUCUAAAUAAAAUUCAGAUCAUAUUUCUUUGUAUAGCACUAAAUCAUAAAAAAUCAAAAAACAUGCAAUAAUAUUAUUGAUGUGAGCAAUGUCAAAUGUUGAUUAUCAUGUCAGCUUAUUUGUAUUUACAGUAAGAUAGAAACUACUUUAAUCAGUCAAAGUCUAAAUCGCACAUGCACAGUGUUGGAUGACAUUUUUUUCAUCUUACUAGAGCAAAAAAAAGGAAGUUGGUGUGAGACAUUUAAGCUAGUUAUAGAAAAGGAACAUCACAAAGAAAAAGCAAGAGGUUUAGACAAGUGUGAAAACAACAACAACAUGAAUAUAUAUAAUAUACAUAUUUCAUCACCUUCUUACGUACACUUCUGCUAAUGAGAAGAUAGGACUCUACUUCCUUUCAGUGAUGACAAAGCAAAAUCAAAUCAGCAAUUUCAUAAUCAAAAUGUGACUUUUUUUUGUUUUUUUUAAGAAAACACGAGUUAAGACAGUCAUGGGUUUAGAAGUGCUGCUUAUAGAUUUCAAUAAGAAGAGAUCAGAGUCUAGAUGCUGGUGUUGGAGAUGAAGAUGGAGGCUUGGAUGGAGCCUGAGUGACGAUCAAGAGGCGGAGAUGGGGAGGAGGUUGGUUGCAUGAAGGCAUCUGCGAGGGAUGAGAAGUGAAAUUUAAAGUACAUGAGGUGAAGCCUGGCAAAAACAUGACUGGAUUAGACCAGUGAUGUCCCAAUCAACUUGACAGAGGGAAAAGGGGAAGUGAGUAAAGCUAAAGAUUGGACACCAACACCUGGGAAUCAGACAGAUGUAUGACUACAGAUGUUCCUUAUUGAACUUGUGCAUAAGCUUUGUUCUGUUACCAACCUUUAUAAAAGAAACUCAACUAUUUUGAAGCUGUACUAAUUAUAUUUUUGUUCUGUAAAUUUAUUUUUUGAUAUGAAAUUAUGAAGAGGUCAUCAUGCUGACUGACCUGUUUUGUGUGGCAGAAGUUGAAAAAUUAUUGUUUUUACUUUGUGUUUAAAGAUGAAUAAUAUAAACCACAAUUAAAUUGAUGUUUAUUUUGUGAUUGAACUUAUUUCUGUAACUUAUCAUUUCUUUUUAAUACAUGAACAUACCUCUCAGAGACUUAAGCUGUCAGCGUCAAAAUUUCUUUCAAAAUAAAAGUUAAAUGUUUUGUUCUGUUCUUCCCAGUCCUUCAAGCACUAAUUCAACUUUCUUGAAAGGUAAAAAGCAGAAAAACAACUGAUGUCACCUCCCCCUUUUCUCUCAGUAAAUGAAAAAAAAAAAAAAGCAGAACUUCAGUAAAGUAAAGUUGAUUGGAUCAGCAGUGAGCAGAAAUGGCAUCUUGGGUUGGACUGUUGCUGAUGAUGUGUGGAGUUUCUCAUGGUGAGUUGUUCAACUUUUCUCAUGUAGUCCUGCAUUAAUACUUCAUUUUAAAAUCAAUAGCAUGUUUUGCACCCAUGACAUCCAGUACAAUCAGUGAAAUAAGUCUGAUAUUAUUCUUAUGGAUGAAGCAUUUGUAACAGGG